This 434-nucleotide ribosomal RNA is filed under the name uncultured bacterium. RNAcentral describes it as "partial 16S ribosomal RNA". It matches the Rfam family "Bacterial small subunit ribosomal RNA", at positions 27 to 507 of the family's 1533-position model. The record is from RNAcentral.
GAGCGAACGCUGGCGGCAGGCCUAACACAUUCAAGUCGAACGAACUCUUCGGAGUUAGUGGCGGACGGGUGAGUAACACGUGGGAACGUGCCUUUAGGUUCGGAAUAACUCAGGGAAACUUGUGCUAAUACCGAAUGUGCCCUUCGGGGGAAAGAUUUAUCGCCUUUAGAGCGGCCCGCGUCUGAUUAGCUAGUUGGUGAGGUAAAGGCUCACCAAGGCGACGAUCAGUAGCUGGUCUGAGAGGAUGAUCAGCCACAUUGGGACUGAGACACGGCCCAAACUCCUACGGGAGGCAGCAGUGGGGAAUCUUGCGCAAUGGGCGAAAGCCUGACGCAGCCAUGCCGCGUGAAUGAUGAAGGUCUUAGGAUUGUAAAAUUCUUUCACCGGGGACGAUAAUGACGGUACCCGGAGAAGAAGCCCCGGCUAACUUCGUG